Molecule: long non-coding RNA, 336 nt
Organism: Wyeomyia smithii (pitcher-plant mosquito)
Lineage: Eukaryota; Metazoa; Arthropoda; Insecta; Diptera; Culicidae
Exons: 2
Source: RefSeq, a predicted model, not a curated record
AGGUUAACGCAAUACGUACUGGCUUUCGAAGCGUUCCUUUAAGAAAUAAAUUUAGUGAAGAGCUGGAAUUGGCAACACUUCUAGUACAUAUUGUUAUUCGCUCUAGUAGCGAAGAGAAUGGCUGAGGAAGUGUUAUGCGUAUGUAAAGAGUUACAAUUGGAAGUAUUAGUUAUUUGUAGACUUCAAACGCAACAAGCUAAAACACAACUAACAUUUGUUCAAAAGUGCCUGAAUAUGUUAUUUUUAACAAACAGAUCGAGCUAUUUGGUGUAGAAAAUCUAUAUCUAUUAAAUAAAAAUCAGUUGGUAUCUGUAAAAAGGUGCAUCACUUGAAAUA